This is an RNA transcript of Panicum virgatum (switchgrass), 2926 nucleotides long. RefSeq lists it as uncharacterized. The record is from RefSeq and is a predicted model, not a curated record. The transcript is spliced from 5 exons. Lineage: Eukaryota; Viridiplantae; Streptophyta; Magnoliopsida; Poales; Poaceae.
GCCGAUCAGCGCCGUCCCGGUCCGCGACGCGGACGCUGCCAAGGUCCGGGUCGGCACCUGCAUCGACGUCCCCUACUUCCCUGCAUCGGCUUGAUCAGGCGACGAGGACAACCGGCGUUGGACCUCCACAGGUACACCUAGCCCGCCACCGCCCUUCCCAAACCCGUGAUGUCGAGUCUCCGUUGCCGUCGUCCCCGCCGGCUCCUGCUUCCUCUCACUCUCCCUCCUGCCUCGUGGUUCUUGUUCCAUGUGCUCUGUUCUUGUAUCAAGUUCUGCUUCUGUACAGUGGAUACGAAUAUGCUUCCAUGUGCCAUAUCUUCGAUGCCAGCAGCGGCCACGAACCCGGCCACCUCCCUGGGAGGCUCGACUGACACCGGCGCUCCGACCUUGCCUCCACGACCAUGUAAGUCGUCCCUUUGCAUGGGAUGAUGCUGUGUUUCAAUUGGCUCCGAUUCCCUUCAUCUUCGAUCACCGUGAAGCCACCAGUCAAGCUCAUCUGUUGUUUCCUUUCCGCUUGGUGGCCUGUGCCCUUGAACUGCUCGAUGAAAUGCCCCAAGGGCCCUGUUACCUGAUUUUGCAUUGGUUCACUGCAUCUGCAUGGUUUCAGGCUUAACAUACUGUCAGUCGCAAGGAGAGAAAGCACAAGAUGGCUUGAGAAAGAUGAUAGAGCCAGGGAUAGUGCGGGCAGCCUGCUGGAUCUUGGCACUGCCUCUGUCGCCCCCUUUUGCUGCUCUUCAUGUGCAUGAACGAUCCACCUGCUAUGCCAGUUCAAGACUUGCCACUGGUGCUAAUUUGGUUGAUUCCACAUGACCACAUUAGAAAAAUGAGGGAGUCAGCAAAACUCAUGAUUUUGAGGACAAGAAACCAAUGGUGAAGUUCGUCAUGAUUCAAGGCAGUGCACUUGGUGAUGGGUUGCCUGAUGGUUUGCCUCAACCUCCAUUCUUUUGUGGUGCUGCUCGUGCCUCCACAACUUCUCGUAGUCUCCACUGGUCGCUAGAGGAGAGGACACAAAAGGGUACAUGAGGGUGAGGGCGGUGAGCCACUGCUCGCUGCGCGUGCCAUUGCCGAGAUAUGCAAGAGUGCAUUGCAGUGCGACGCAUGGUUUACACUGCAUGAGGCCAUUCAGGCACUUCAUUUAUGCAGGACCUAUAACUGUAAACAGUAUGCUGGAUCUGCCUGCGAUGAGCUGAAGCAUGUCAGGCAAGCAGUUGCCCCCUUGAUACUUGAUGAUAGACAGAAUCCUGAUACUUCUUGUUUGGAUCAGUAUGGCUUCCUAAUCUUUUUCUCAUAUAGUCAUAGCUAUGUGCAACUCUCAGUCUCAUUAAAUUUAUAUCAUCAAAUCCUGCUUUUGCCUUCUAUACUGAGAACAUGGCAUUCUUUAGUAGAGCCAAUGUGCGCUUAAAUUUAUAACAGUCUUGAUCACAUUAAUAGUUUGCUUGCUUUUUUGCUCGUAAUGGUUCAUUCUGAGCUUUACUACAAGCAUUGCCAUGAAAUUUUGCCCAAUAUCUUCAGUACUAGAUAUUAUGUUCUUUGAUUUGCUUUCUUGUUCACUUAAAAAACAUAUGGUUUAUACUUCUUCGGCUACAAAGGCUCUAUUUGUAAUAUUACAGAUAAUUUAUAUUAUGAGUAAAGUUUAAUUAUUUUUAAUGCUUGUGUAAACUUAGGAAUCCGAAGGGGAUUCACUAUAGGCAGAUACUUCUAGAACCAUGUUCCAUUCCUUCAUGAAAUCAUGAUGUUGAAUAAUUGAAUAGACAAUCAAAUGACAAACUUACAGUGCUCAUUUAUGAAUUCAGGAUUCAUCUAGGGAACCUUUUAUUUGCUUUCCUGUAGCUCAUUUGGAACUGCAUUUAUUUUUCCUAUUCCUAUUGCAGGUGCAGACGCUUUUGGUAGAGAUUUAUCCAUUUGCAUAUUAGAUAUGGUGUGCCUAUUAAGACCUAAAACUUUAAGUCAUGAAGCACAAGGUUUAGAAUAAAUUCUCAACUGCAUAAUGAAUAUUAGUGCCCUACAAUUUAAUGUACCAUACUUAGGUCGUCAGCACUAAUAAAAACUUUUGAAAUACUGUUGUCCCAGUAAUAUUGUCACCACUUCGAGGUAUUAGAAUAUGUACUAAUUACUGGUGGAGAUGUUGCAUCAUUGGGACCACAAGUAGUCACCAAGACCCUCAGUUGCGCCAAAUUUUUUAAUUGGCCAAUCGGUCAUAUGGUUCUGUUUAUAUCAGUUUAGAAGAAAUAUUUUUGAAUUGAGCAUCUAAGGAAUGAAUUGUUGCCAAGAAUCAGUCACUGGGAGCAGUAGAUGGUGAUAUGCCUGAUAGCCAUUAGCCCAUUACAAAUAUGCUUUAAGUAGUCAACUUGAAUUUAAUUGCCAAAAUCUCUUGGUAGUUUGUUUUGUGUUUUCAAAAUUACUGCGAUUGGUGCCACAAACACUUGCUUCAUGUGUGAUUACAGUACCUGAUAGCUAUGCUUUAAGCCUGACGACAAUGCCAACAGGGGGAGAUCACCAAUGUCAUGGAGUACCAGCUACCAGGCCAUCGAGAAGCAAAAGCUUAUAAAUAUUAUUAUCUACGACUAUUACGUGUCCGACCCCGAGGACGAGUGGACGCUGCAGGUGAACAGGGAGGCAUGUGAGCUCCAUCUCCUUCACUGCCUUUGCUACUAUAUCAUGUAUAUAUUCCUAUGCUUCAGCGGGUGUAGGAGCAGCAGUUCAUGAGAUAAGGUGACUGAGCCAGUUAAAUUAGAAGGGGGUGGGGAAAAGGGCCAUUAGUAGUUAUGUUCAUUGAUCAGUUCCUUUUGUUACUAUAAAAUCUUACUUAUCUAUUUAGGGUGGAAUUGUACAAGUUUAUUUAUUUGGAGAACAUGUUUGUGAUUUUUUUUUGAAAAAUGUUAACUUUAUAAUUGAGACUAUUGAAGUAAUUCUCCUUGGCAUUGAA